UGGCGGACGGGUGAGUAACGCGUGGGAAUCUGCCCUCAGGAGGGGGAUAACGACUGGAAACGGUCGCUAAUACCCCAUAUGCCGAGAGGUGAAAUGAAUUUCGCCUGAGGAUGAGCCCGCGUCUGAUUAGCUAGUUGGUGGGGUAAGAGCUCACCAAGGCGACGAUCAGUAGCUGGUCUGAGAGGAUGAUCAGCCACACUGGGACUGAGACACGGCCCAG
This 220-nucleotide ribosomal RNA is filed under the name uncultured bacterium. RNAcentral's name for it is "partial 16S ribosomal RNA". It matches the Rfam family "Bacterial small subunit ribosomal RNA", at positions 96 to 334 of the family's 1533-position model. The record is from RNAcentral.